Molecule: small RNA, 194 nt
Filed under: Rhizobium sp. BK347
Lineage: Bacteria; Pseudomonadati; Pseudomonadota; Alphaproteobacteria; Hyphomicrobiales; Rhizobiaceae
Also listed under: 3 other names
Description: sRNA Atu_C9
Rfam family: Rhizobiales sRNA Atu_C9
Source: RNAcentral
GGCUGACUGAGGAGGAAGACAUGGGAUUGACGCGAUCCAUCAACGUCCUAGUGGUCGGUGCGGCCUUCGCUUUUGUCGUAACGAUGCUUUUCAUCUGACGGCUUUGACGAAAUUCGCAGACGAUCAAACUCCGAAAAGCUAACAAAACCCCUGCCUUAUUAGAAAAGCGCAUGCCCGGGCCGGACAUGCGCUUU